GAGAAAAACUUCUGCAAGGAAACUUUAAAGCUGCCAGCUGCUGGGUCCAGUCCCCCUUGGCCAGGCCAAGAAGAGGAUGGCAAAUAGACGAGGCCUUCUCUCCUCCCCGACAUGAUUUUUUUGGCCCUUGUGGUUUUGCAAAAGAAAUAAACAAGCUUAAGUGAACACAAAUAGGAACAAAUGCCUUGAUUCGGAGCUGCAGCCUGGGUGGGGAUCACAUGCUGGGCCUCCGUAUACUGAGAGCCUUUGCUGUCAGUGACCACAGAAAGGCUGGAGUGGGCGCCCGGGCCAGCACUAGGCUCAAUCAACAGUUACUUUUGUCAUCAAGCACGGGCCUCAGGAGUCUGGAGUGAAAUGGGCAGAAAGAGCCAGAAUAUGAAAACUUCUUCGAGGGACGCCUUCAGAUUGAUGGAGGCAGGAAGACAGAUCAGGCCGGACCUCAUCUCCGAGAUAUAUUCCCAGAAGUGAGAUUACUGGAUCAAAGGAGAGAAGUUGAGCUCCAGUCCUUCUAUUCCUCCAUCUUAAUCCAAGAUCGCAGGAGUUGUUGCUGAACAAGGAUGAGACCCAGAUGUCCCAGCUCCAAUCCUGGCAAAGGAGAACCCAGGGCAGCGUCCGCUGUCCUUAGAUAUUUGCAUGGCUGGGAGAAGCCACAGAAAUUGGCUGGAGAAUGUUUGCAGACCUGGGUCAUCAUCUGAACCAUUUGCUGAGCUCUAAAAACAGGGAUCCCUGGGCUACCAUUCUUUGGAGGAACUAAUGAGCCGUGAAUGCCUCUCCGCUCUGCCAGCUUCAUGCCACCUCAUGACUGCUGCCACCUGCUCAAGAAGAUGGAGGCCUGGAGUUCCCAUCAUGGCUCAGUGGUAAUGAACCCAACUAGUAUCCAUGAGGACAUGGGUCAAUCUCUGGUCUCGCUCAGUGGGUUAAGGACCUGGCAUUGCUGUGGCUGUGGUGAAGUCCGGCAGCUAUAGCUCCUAUUCAACUCUUGGCCCAGGAACUUCCACAUGCUGGAGGUGAGGCCCCAAAAAGACAAAAGAAAAAAAAAAAAAGGAUGGAGGCCUGUGGUCAUCCAGGCAGGUGUGUGAAGUGGAGGCACAGACUGGGGGUGACAAGGCAAAGGUGGCCCUUGCAGACAGGCUGGAGCUGGUUUGGGGCUCUGGAAAGGAUGGAUGCCCCAGCCCAGCCCGCUGGUAGGUUGCAGCUGCUGCUCUGACCUCCUUGCCUUUUCCUCUUCACCCCGUUCCUGGAAACCUCUCCCCUUGGGACCACCAGACAUAUGGUGCACGGGCUCCUGGGACUGUCCUGUAGCUCUUCUGCUCCCACUCCCUGCCCUCCAUGGGUGCCAGGGGAGGCUCCCCAGUCUCUGCUGAGCCCUGUGCUGACUCUGCCUUCUGUCAUUUUUUAUUUUUUAGCCACACCUGCAGCAUGUGGAAGUUCCUGGACCAGGAAUCAAACCCACACCACAGCAGUGACCUGAGCCACUGCAGUGACAAUGCCAGAUCCUUAACCCACUGCACCGUAAGGGAACUCUGCCUUCGGUCUUUAGCCUGAUGCUAUCAUCAUGAUUUCCAUCCCGGCUGUUACCAAGGAAGGAAGAGGAGGUAGAGGAAGUGGAGGGGGAGGAGGAGGAAGAGGGGGGGUUAAGGAAGAGGAGAAGGAGGGGUCAUUGACUCACAGGGGACACUCCCUCCCAUGGAGCUGUGGAACUAGAGUGACCAACCAUUUCAGUUUGCCUGGGACCAAAGAGGUUCCUGGGAGGUGGAACUUGGAGUUUUUAAACUUAGAAAGUCCUUGGCAAGCUGGCAUCAGUUGGUCACCCUCUGUGGAAAGCCAGAGUUGAAUAGGGCCAGAGGCAGUACCUGGCUGUUCUGGAACAGAACCUGCCUCUCCUGCUCUCCCGAGCCUCUCCGGGAAUGCAGCUUUGCAGUCACUUGGCCGCGUGAACCUGGGUGUGGCUCCUGGGAAUGAAGUCUCUGUUUGCCUCUGCACUCAGAGUUCCUCUGGUGAAUUCCAUGUUCCAAGAACUGGUAUGCUUGGAACCUUGGCAAUGCCCUGAGAACCAGAUGUCUGCAUUUCUCUGGCACCAUCCCAUUCCUUGGGUCAGGGCCCAGAGCCUAUCCCUGAGAGCUGAAGGUCCAAACCAGAGAAGCAGAUGCACUGUCAGGUUCAAGGGUGGGGCAGGAAGCGAAGAGGUCAAGGACUUCUAAGAGCAGGAGACAAAGCCAGUCAGGAGUUGAGAAGAUCCAGAAGGAAUACUGUUGAUCCUGUGGUCCACGAGAGGGUGGGCUUUGUUAGAGGACAAGAAUAAAUGGGCAGACAGCCCUAGCCAGACAUCACAUGUCACCCCCUCACACUGGGCAACAUGGUUGGACUUCCGGAAGGCACGCAGUCUGAGCGACGAUGGCGAAUGUUGGCUGCGUGCCAGCACUGUGCUCGACCACGCGUAGGUAGGAUGCAGAACUGAAUUCCGUGAAUGCAAGCUUCAUGAGGCAGAGAGCCUGCUCAUCCUUUUCAUUCCUGUUUUCUGAGCACCAGAUAACACUAGCGGACACUUACUGAGCGCUUAUUAUGUGCCAGGCCUUGUUCUAAGACAUUUUAAAAGGCAGCUUUAGUGAGAUAUAAUCCAUAUACCGUACAAUUCACCAAUUUAAAUGUACAGUGGCUCUUAGUAUAUUCACAGAGUUGUGCAACCAUUACCACCAUCAAUUUUAGAACAUUUUCACUACCCUAAAAAGAAACCGCGCACCCCCUAGCCGUCCCUCUUCAUUCUCCCUCCCCCGCCGAGGCAUCUACUAAUCCACUUUCUGUCUCUUUAGAUUCCUCUGUUCUGGACAUGUCAUAUAAAUGGAAUCAUGCAAUAUCUGAUUUUUCAUGACUGGAUUCUUCCACUUAGCAUAAUGUUCUCAAGGCUGAUCCUUACUGUAGUAUCUGUCAGGACUUCAUUCCUCUCUAUUGCUGGAUAAUCUUCUAUUGUGUGGAUAUAUCACAUUUUAUUUAUCCAUUCAUCAGAUGGACAUUUGGGUUUUUUCUCCUUUUUGGCUGUUAUGAACAUGUGUGGUUUUGUGUUCUCAUUCCUUGUUCUCAGAAACUGCUAUAAAAACAUAAUUUAAUCCUUAAAACCCUGCAAGAUAGGUAAUAUUAUCCCUAAGGCUCAGAGAGGUUAAUUACCUUGCCCAAGGUUACACAGCUUGCCAGUGGUGGAGCUGAGACAGGUAGAGGCAGUCUUGCCCCAGAGCCUGAGCCCACAACCACUCUGCUCUAUGACCUGGAAGAAUGCCUGGCACAUCCAAUAAGUAUUUACGGAAUGAAUGGCUAAGGUUAGACUGGGGCUGUGCUCUCCAGAGACUCAUAAUGUGGUUGCCUUCUUGCAGACAGCUCCUAAUUAAUCUCUGCAAUACUCUCGGGGUUGGCAAUGGGGAGAGGAGGACAUUGGCAGGAGUCAGCUGUUAAAAAGUUGAAUGUGGUUGCUGCCAAUUGUGUAUAGGGUCCCUUUCGGCCAGGGCUGAGGCUGCAGAUUCCUAAGGGAGAGAAGAGCCAGUAUAGGGGCCUAGAAGUCUCAAGAAGUUACAGAAAACUUCCUCUUUAGAGAGGCAAACAGGAAAUCUGCUUUUUUGGUGGUUGUUUUUUUUAAGUGAGUGAUCCUGAAGUUCAUUUGUGUGCCUGAGGUCCCAGACUGCCUGUUCCAUGUUACCUGUCACCAGAUGACCAGGAGGGCUGAUUCUGGGGUGGGCAGCUGAGCUGAAUCCUCUAGAACAGCCACUAGCAGGCAAUUGCAGAAGGGCAAAGCCAGAGAGGUGGACAUCUCAUCCCAGCUCCGGGUGAGCCGGGAGCUGACUCUUAGCGACAAAGACCCUGGCAGACCACGUUCCACGGAGCCCCGUCCUGCUACCCUGCUGCAUCCUCAGCAAGGCCAGCACCAAGGACCUUGCUCACCAAGCUCCUUUCUGCCUUUUGUACCAGCACCCACUCUUGGCUGUCCUCCACCUCUCCUGCCACUACAGCAUUCUGGGUCCCAGCCUCUUCUCUCUUCCUGCACAAGCCCAAUUGUCUUGUGUUCCCAAUGUUUGCUCAAGCUGUUUGUUCUGUCUGGAAUGGCCCCCCUGGAUUAUUCAAGUUCCAGAUAAAUUCCUGUCUCCUCUGGGAAGCGUUCCCAGUCACUCUGGCCAUAAAGAAUCUUUCCCUCCCUCCAUGAACCCUGCUACUGCCCCCCCCCCGCGCCCCAGCACUUCCCCCUGGUCUGCAGUGGGGAGAAUUAUUUAUGUUUGUCUUCUUCCUGCGGGGCAGGGGUGAAAUUGCAUUUGUGUCUGCUCUUUCCCCAGGCCCGACAUAGUGUCAGCUCAUAGUAGGUGUUCAGUAGACGAGUUGCUGGACUGAGCUGGCCACCUCGAGUGAAGAGUUUGCCCUCAUGUGGCCCAAGUUCACAGAUGGCCAGGGGUCCUCAUGCCUGUUUUGUCUAAUUCUGGCACAAGGACACAUCCCCCUGUGGGGAACGUGGUUUAUUCUAGACUCAAUGAUAAAGGAAAAGCAUACCAUGAAAGAAAAUGCUGUAAAUAUUUUAUUGGAAUUUUUACGAUAGAAGGUAAAAUGAGAAAAAGAAUAUGAGAAAAAGAAUUUUGCUGUACAGCAAAAAAAAAAAAAAAAAAAAAAA
RNAcentral lists this long non-coding RNA (4642 nucleotides) under Sus scrofa (pig). RNAcentral's name for it is "lncRNA (ENSSSCG00035079078.1)". The record is from RNAcentral. Lineage: Eukaryota; Metazoa; Chordata; Mammalia; Artiodactyla; Suidae.